UACAGAGGGUGCUAGCGUUGUUCGGAAUCACUGGGCGUAAAGGGUGCGUAGGCGGGUUUUUAAGUCAGGGGUGAAAUCCUGGAGCUCAACUCCAGAACUGCCUUUGAUACUGAAGAUCUCGAGUCCGGGAGAGGUGAGUGGAACUGCGAGUGUAGAGGUGAAAUUCGUAGAUAUUCGCAAGAACACCAGUGGCGAAGGCGGCUCACUGGCCCGGUACUGACGCUGAGGCACGAAAGCGUGGGGAGCAAACAGG
Molecule: ribosomal RNA, 253 nt
Filed under: uncultured bacterium
Lineage: Bacteria
Description: partial 16S ribosomal RNA
Rfam family: Bacterial small subunit ribosomal RNA
Source: RNAcentral